UGAUGGAUGGACCCGCGGUGCAUUAGCUAGUUGGUGAGGUAACGGCUCACCAAGGCCACGAUGCAUAGCCGACCUGAGAGGGUGAUCGGCCACACUGGGACUGAGACACGGCCCAGACUCCUACGGGAGGCAGCAGUAGGGAAUCUUCGGCAAUGGACGAAAGUCUGACCGAGCAACGCCGCGUGAGUGAAGAAGGUUUUCGGAUCGUAAAACUCUGUUGUUAGAGAAGAACAAGGACGUUAGUAACUGAACGUCCCCUGACGGUAUCUAACCAGAAAGCCACGGCUAACUACGUGCCAGCAGCCGCGG
Molecule: ribosomal RNA, 309 nt
Filed under: Enterococcus faecalis
Lineage: Bacteria; Bacillati; Bacillota; Bacilli; Lactobacillales; Enterococcaceae
Description: bacterial SSU rRNA
Rfam family: Bacterial small subunit ribosomal RNA
Source: RNAcentral